GGGCGUCAUCGGAGGGAAGCCCAACAGCGCCCACUACUUCAUCGGCUACGUUGGUGAGGAGCUCAUCUACCUGGACCCCCACACCACGCAGCCAGCCGUGGAGCCCACUGACGGCUGCUUCAUCCCGGACGAGAGCUUCCACUGCCAGCACCCGCCGUGCCGCAUGAGCAUCGCGGAGCUUGACCCGUCCAUUGCUGUGGUACGUGGCGGCCACCUGAGCACACAGGCAUUUGGUGCUGAAUGCUGUUUGGGAAUGACGAGGAAAACUUUCGGAUUUUUGCGUUUUUUUUUUCAGCAUGUUGGGAUAAGUACUGUGUUCACGUGGUUGGGAAUCUGAAGGGUAUAAGAGCCGGAACUGUGUCCUUGCACCCUCA
RNAcentral lists this small RNA (374 nucleotides) under Pan troglodytes (chimpanzee). RNAcentral describes it as "retained intron". Lineage: Eukaryota; Metazoa; Chordata; Mammalia; Primates; Hominidae. The record is from RNAcentral.